ACCUGUUAAGUGAUUGUAACUCAAGUAAACACAUGUUUUUUACACAAACAAGAAAGACUGAACGGGAA
This 68-nucleotide transfer RNA is filed under the name Ferosagitta ferox. RNAcentral describes it as "tRNA-Tyr". The record is from RNAcentral. Lineage: Eukaryota; Metazoa; Chaetognatha; Sagittoidea; Aphragmophora; Sagittidae.